This 519-nucleotide ribosomal RNA is filed under the name uncultured bacterium. RNAcentral describes it as "partial 16S ribosomal RNA". It matches the Rfam family "Bacterial small subunit ribosomal RNA", at positions 355 to 866 of the family's 1533-position model. The record is from RNAcentral.
UGGGGAAUUUUGGACAAUGGGCGAAAGCCUGAUCCAGCAAUGCCGCGUGUGUGAAGAAGGCCUUCGGGUUGUAAAGCACUUUUGUCCGGAAAGAAAUGGCUCUGGUUAAUACCUGGGGUCGAUGACGGUACCGGAAGAAUAAGGACCGGCUAACUACGUGCCAGCAGCCGCGGUAAUACGUAGGGUCCAAGCGUUAAUCGGAAUUACUGGGCGUAAAGCGUGCGCAGGCGGUUGUGCAAGACCGAUGUGAAAUCCCCGAGCUUAACUUGGGAAUUGCAUUGGUGACUGCACGGCUAGAGUGUGUCAGAGGGGGGUGAGAAUUCCACGUGUAGCAGUGAAAUGCGUAGAGAUGUGGAGGAAUACCGAUGGCGAAGGCAGCCCCCUGGAGUAACACUGACGCUCAUGCACGAAAGCGUGGGGAGCAAACAGGAUUAGAUACCCUGGUAGUCCACGCCCUAAACGAUGUCAACUAGUUGUUGGGGAUUCAUUUCCUUAGUAACGUAGCUAACGCGUGAAGUU